GCCGGGUGAGGUGGCGGGUGCCUGUAGUCCCAGCUACUUGGGAGGCUGAGGCAGGAGAAUGGCGUGAACCCGGGAGGCGGAGCUUGCAAGUGAGCUGAGAUCCGGCCACUGCACUCCAGCCUGGGUGGCAGAGCGAGACUCCGUCUCAAAAAAAAAUAAAAAAAAAAAAAUAAAAUAAAAUUUUUUUUUUUUUUUUUCCUGAGACAGAGUCUCACUCUGUUGCUCAGGCUGGAGUGCAAUGGCGCAAUCUUGGCUCACUGCAACCUCUGCCUCCCGGGUUCAAGCAAUUCUCCUGCCUCAG
RNAcentral lists this small RNA (301 nucleotides) under Macaca fascicularis (crab-eating macaque). RNAcentral describes it as "Metazoan signal recognition particle RNA (ENSMFAG00000063365.1)". The record is from RNAcentral. Lineage: Eukaryota; Metazoa; Chordata; Mammalia; Primates; Cercopithecidae.